Molecule: ribosomal RNA, 397 nt
Filed under: uncultured bacterium
Lineage: Bacteria
Description: partial 16S ribosomal RNA
Rfam family: Bacterial small subunit ribosomal RNA
Source: RNAcentral
AUACGUAGGUGGCAAGCGUUGUCCGGAAUUAUUGGGCGUAAAGCGCGCGCAGGUGGUUCCUUAAGUCUGAUGUGAAAGCCCCCGGCUCAACCGGGGAGGGUCAUUGGAAACUGGGGAACUUGAGUGCAGAAGAGGAUAGUGGAAUUCCAAGUGUAGCGGUGAAAUGCGUAGAGAUUUGGAGGAACACCAGUGGCGAAGGCGACUGUCUGGUCUGUAACUGACACUGAGACGCGAAAGCGUGGGGAGCAAACAGGAUUAGAUACCCUGGUAGUCCACGCCGUAAACGAUGAGUGCUAAGUGUUGGGGGGUUUCCGCCCCUCAGUGCUGCAGCUAACGCAUUAAGCACUCCGCCUGGGGAGUACGGUCGCAAGACUGAAACUCAAAGGAAUUGACGGGG